RNAcentral lists this long non-coding RNA (485 nucleotides) under Rosa chinensis. Its description in RNAcentral is "sRNA RchiOBHm_Chr6g0293431". Lineage: Eukaryota; Viridiplantae; Streptophyta; Magnoliopsida; Rosales; Rosaceae. The record is from RNAcentral.
UGCUUUAUGAAUUUAAGGACUCCACCCACCCCUAAAUCUCUCAUUUGCACCUAAUUAACAAGGUUAUUCCUAGUCCUUUUUCAUAUGACACAAAGACUAUGCCGGUAUAUGAGAGUGAGUACUGGGAUGGAAGACAUCAGACCCAUAACCAAGGAUACCUCCUCUGCUGUAAUAACCCAAAGCUCAAGAAGCAACAUAAAUGAGUUGGAGUAGGAUCUUAGAGCUUAAGAAGCAAGUACUGUGGAUUACCUCCUUUCAGCAUGUGAGCUACCAAGUUUGAUUCAUGGGUCUAGCCAGCAGCUAGAAAUAGCUAGGGAUGCUUUUGAUUCAUGUGUAGGUAGCAGCUAGGAAUGCUUUCUUUUUUGGUAUAUUAUCUAGUAACUUGAAUGUUUGGAUGUUUGAAAAAUGCUACUUGAAUGAUAUGGACUAGUAUUCCAAGUAUGAAUUACAUAAUGAACAAACAACAGCUCCAAAUAAUGUUGUGA